Molecule: non-coding RNA, 76 nt
Organism: Podarcis lilfordi (Lilford's wall lizard)
Lineage: Eukaryota; Metazoa; Chordata; Lepidosauria; Squamata; Lacertidae
Source: the annotation of a GenBank genome assembly
GCCAUAGCUCAGUGGCAGAGCAUCUGCUUUUCAUGCAGAAGGUCCCAGGUUCAGUCUUCAGCAUCUGGUAGAUAAA